GAACGCUGGCGGCGUGCCUAACACAUGCAAGUCGAACGAAGCAAAUUAACGGAAGUUUUCGGAUGGAAGUUGAAUUGACUGAGUGGCGGACGGGUGAGUAACGCGUGGGUAACCUGCCUUGUACUGGGGGACAACAGUUAGAAAUGACUGCUAAUACCGCAUAAGCGCACAGUAUCGCAUGAUACAGUGUGAAAAACUCCGGUGGUACAAGAUGGACCCGCGUCUGAUUAGCUAGUUGGUAAGGUAAGGGCUUACCAAGGCGACGAUCAGUAGCCGACCUGAGAGGGUGACCGGCCACAUUGGGACUGAGACACGGCCCAAACUCCUACGGGAGGCAGCAGUGGGGAAUAUUGCACAAUGGGCGAAAGCCUGAUGCAGCGACGCCGCGUGAGUGAAGAAGUAUUUCGGUAUGUAAAGCUCUAUCAGCAGGGAAGAAAAUGACGGUACCUGACUAAGAAGCCCCGGCUAACUACGUGCCAGCAGCCGCGGUAAUACGUAGGGGGCAAGCGUUAUCCGGAUUUACUGGGUGUAAAGGGAGCGUAGACGGUAAAGCAAGUCUGAAGUGAAAGCCCGCGGCUCAACUGCGGGACUGCUUUGGAAACUGUUUAACUGGAGUGUCGGAGAGGUAAGUGGAAUUCCUAGUGUAGCGGUGAAAUGCGUAGAUAUUAGGAGGAACACCAGUGGCGAAGGCGACUUACUGGACGAUAACUGACGUUGAGGC
Molecule: ribosomal RNA, 721 nt
Filed under: uncultured Lachnospiraceae bacterium
Lineage: Bacteria; Bacillati; Bacillota; Clostridia; Lachnospirales; Lachnospiraceae
Description: bacterial SSU rRNA
Rfam family: Bacterial small subunit ribosomal RNA
Source: RNAcentral